Molecule: ribosomal RNA, 460 nt
Filed under: uncultured bacterium
Lineage: Bacteria
Description: partial 16S ribosomal RNA
Rfam family: Bacterial small subunit ribosomal RNA
Source: RNAcentral
CCUACGGGGGGCAGCAGUGAGGAAUAUUGGUCAAUGGACGAGAGUCUGAACCAGCCAAGUAGCAUGAAGGAUGACUGCCCUAUGGGUUGUAAACUUCUUUUAUAUGGGAAUAAAAUGUUCCACGUGUGGGAUUUUGUAUGUACCAUAUGAAUAAGGAUCGGCUAACUCCGUGCCAGCAGCCGCGGUAAUACGGAGGAUCCGAGCGUUAUCCGGAUUGAUUGGGUUUAAAGGGAGCGUAGGUGGAUUGUUAAGUCAGUUGUGAAAGUUUGCGGCUCAACCGUAAAAUUGCAGUUGAAACUGGCAGUCUUGAGUACAGUAGAGGUGGGCGGAAUUCGUGGUGAAGCGGUGAAAUGCUUAGAUAUCACGAAGAACUCCGAUUGCGAAGGCAGCUCACUGGACUGCAACUGACACUGAGGCUCGAAAGUGUGGGUAUCAAACAGGAUUAGAUACCCCAGUAGUC